GUUUGAUCCUGGCUCAGGAUGAACGCUGGCGGCGUGCUUAACACAUGCAAGUCGAACGAUCCUUCGGGAUAGUGGCGGACGGGUGAGUAACGCGUGGGAAUCUGCCCUCAGGAGGGGGAUAACGGCUGGAAACGGCCGCUAAUACCCCAUAUGCCGAGAGGUGAAAUGAAUUUCGCCUGAGGAUGAGCCCGCGUCUGAUUAGCUAGUUGGUGGGGUAAAGGCCUACCAAGGCAACGAUCAGUAGCUGGUCUGAGAGGAUGAUCAGCCACACUGGGACUGAGACACGGCCCAGACUCCUACGGGAGGCAGCAGUGGGAAAUUUUCCGCAAUGGGCGAAAGCCUGACGGAGCAACGCCGCGUGAGGGAUGAAGGCCUCUGGGCUGUAAACCUCUUUUCUCAAGGAAGAAGACCUGACGGUACUUGAGGAAUAAGCCACGGCUAAUUCCGUGCCAGCAGCCGCGGUAAUACGGGAGUGGCAAGCGUUAUCCGGAAUUAUUGGGCGUAAAGCGUCCGCAGGCGGCCUUGUAAGUCUGUUGUUAAAGCGUGGAGCUCAACUCCAUUUAAGCAAUGGAAACUACAAGGCUGGAGUGUGGUAGGGGCAGAGGGAAUUCCCGGUGUAGCGGUGAAAUGCGUAGAUAUCGGGAAGAACACCAGUGGCGAAGGCGCUCUGCUGGGCCAUAACUGACGCUCAUGGACGAAAGCCAGGGUAGCGAAAGGGAUUAGAUACCCCUGUAGUCCUGGCCGUAAACGAUGAACACUAGGUGUCGGGGGAAUCGACCCCCUCGGUGUCGUAGCCAACGCGUUAAGUGUUCCGCCUGGGGAGUACGCACGCAAGUGUGAAACUCAAAGGAAUUGACGGGGGCCCGCACAAGCGGUGGAGUAUGUGGUUUAAUUCGAUGCAACGCGAAGAACCUUACCAGGGUUUGACAUCCUGCGAACCCCUGAGAAAUCGGGGGGUGCCUUCGGGAGCGCAGAGACAGGUGGUGCAUGGCUGUCGUCAGCUCGUGUCGUGAGAUGUUGGGUUAAGUCCCGCAACGAGCGCAACCCACGUCUUUAGUUGCCAGCAUUCAGUUGGGCACUCUAGAGAGACCGCCGGUGAUAAACCGGAGGAAGGUGUGGAUGACGUCAAGUCAUCAUGCCCCCUACAUCCUGGGCUACACACGUACUACAAUGCUACGGACAAAGGGCAGCAAGCUCGCGAGAGUUAGCAAAUCCCAUAAACCGUGGCUCAGUUCAGAUCGUAGGCUGCAACUCGCCUACGUGAAGGAGGAAUCGCUAGUAAUCGCAGGUCAGCAUACUGCGGUGAAUACGUUCCCGGGCCUUGUACACACCGCCCGUCACACCAUG
Molecule: ribosomal RNA, 1347 nt
Filed under: metagenome
Description: bacterial SSU rRNA
Rfam family: Bacterial small subunit ribosomal RNA
Source: RNAcentral